AUACGGAGGAUGCGAGCGUUAUCCGGAUUUAUUGGGUUUAAAGGGUGCGUAGGUGGUAGAUUAAGUCAGCGGUGAAAGUUUGUCGCUCAACGAUAAAAUUGCCGUUGAUACUGGUUUACUUGAGUAUAGUUGAAGUAGGCGGAAUGCGUGGUGUAGCGGUGAAAUGCAUAGAUAUCACGCAGAACUCCGAUUGCGAAGGCAGCUUACUAAGUUAUAACUGACACUGAAGCACGAAAGCGUGGGUAUCAAACAGGAUUAGAUACCCUGGUAGUCCACGCAGUAAACGAUGAUUACUAGCUGUUUGCGAUAUACAGUCAGUGGCACAGCGAAAGCGUUAAGUAAUCCACCUGGGGAGUACGCCGGCAACGGUGAAACUCAAAUGAAUUGACGGGG
This 393-nucleotide ribosomal RNA is filed under the name uncultured bacterium. Its description in RNAcentral is "partial 16S ribosomal RNA". It matches the Rfam family "Bacterial small subunit ribosomal RNA", at positions 523 to 918 of the family's 1533-position model. The record is from RNAcentral.